UACGUAGGGUGCGAGCGUUGUCCGGAAUUAUUGGGCGUAAAGAGCUCGUAGGCGGUCUGUCGCGUCGAUCGUGAAAACUUGGGGCUUAACCCUGAGCUUGCGGUCGAUACGGGCAUGACUGGAGCUCGGCAGGGGAGACUGGAAUUCCUGGUGUAGCGGUGAAAUGCGCAGAUAUCAGGAGGAACACCAAUGGCGAAGGCAGCUCGCUGGGACGUGACUGACGCUGAGACGCGAAAGCGUGGGGAGCAAACAGG
This 254-nucleotide ribosomal RNA is filed under the name uncultured bacterium. RNAcentral describes it as "partial 16S ribosomal RNA". It matches the Rfam family "Bacterial small subunit ribosomal RNA", at positions 524 to 776 of the family's 1533-position model. The record is from RNAcentral.